This is a transfer RNA of 72 nucleotides. It matches the Rfam family "tRNA". Rfam says of the family: Transfer RNA (tRNA) molecules are approximately 80 nucleotides in length. Their secondary structure includes four short double-helical elements and three loops (D, anti-codon, and T loops).
GGCGCUAUAGUCUAUCGGUUAGGACGCGGCCCUUUCAAGGCUGAGAGACGGGUUCGACUCCCGUUAGCGCUA